Molecule: ribosomal RNA, 309 nt
Filed under: uncultured eukaryote
Lineage: Eukaryota
Description: partial 18S ribosomal RNA
Rfam family: Eukaryotic small subunit ribosomal RNA
Source: RNAcentral
CCCUUAGAUGUUCUGGGCGGCCCGCGCACUACAAUGGCGUGUGCAGCGAGUGCCGAAGUAGAGUUUUCCGAGGUAUUCUUGCAAUGCUCGUUUUGAUGGGGACAGACCCUUGCAACUGUUGGUUUUGAACGAGGAAUUCCUUGUAAGCAUGGUUUAUCAUCCGACGCUGAAUGCGUCCCUGCCCUUUGUACACACCGCCCGUCGCUCCUACCGAUGAGUCGUCCGGUGAAGUUCGUAGACCUCGUGAUCGCGGAUCACUGGGGGAAGCAAAAUGAACCUCGCGGUUUAGAGGAAGGAGAAGUCGUAACA